RNAcentral lists this ribosomal RNA (358 nucleotides) under Elliptochloris marina. RNAcentral describes it as "SSU rRNA". It matches the Rfam family "Eukaryotic small subunit ribosomal RNA", at positions 1469 to 1827 of the family's 1831-position model. Lineage: Eukaryota; Viridiplantae; Chlorophyta; Trebouxiophyceae. The record is from RNAcentral.
GCCCUUAGAUGUUCUGGGCCGCACGCGCGCUGCACUGAUGCGAUCAACGAGCCUAGCCUUGGCCGAGAGGUCCGGGUAAUCUUGCAAACCGCAUCGUGAUGGGGAUAGAUUAUUGCAAUUAUUAAUCUUCAACGAGGAAUGCCUAGUAAGCGCGAGUCAUCAGCUCGCGUUGAUUACGUCCCUGCCCUUUGUACACACCGCCCGUCGCUCCUACCGAUUGGGUGUGCUGGUGAAGCGUUCGGAUUGGUGGCUCCAAGCGGUUCGCCGCCGGGGGCAACCGAGAAGUUCGUUAAACCCUCCCACCUAGGGGAAGGAGAAGUCGUAACAAGGUUUCCGUAAGUGAACCUGCGGAAGGAUC